GCCUACGGGGCGCAGCAGUAGGGAAUCUUCCACAAUGGGCGAAAGCCUGAUUGAGCAACGCCGCGUGGGUGAAGAAGGUCUUCGGAUCGUAAAACCCUGUUGUUAGAGAAGAAAGUGCGUGAGAGUAACUGUUCACGUUUCGACGGUAUCUAACCAGAAAGCCACGGCUAACUACGUGCCAGCAGCCGCGGUAAUACGUAGGUGGCAAGCGUUAUCCGGAUUUAUUGGGCGUAAAGGGAACGCAGGCGGUCUUUUAAGUCUUAUGUGAAAGCCUUCGGCUUAACCGGAGUAGUGCAUUGGAAACU
RNAcentral lists this ribosomal RNA (305 nucleotides) under uncultured bacterium. Its description in RNAcentral is "bacterial SSU rRNA". It matches the Rfam family "Bacterial small subunit ribosomal RNA", at positions 337 to 634 of the family's 1533-position model. The record is from RNAcentral.